This is a non-coding RNA of Schizosaccharomyces pombe (fission yeast), 538 nucleotides long. The record is from the annotation of a GenBank genome assembly. Lineage: Eukaryota; Fungi; Ascomycota; Schizosaccharomycetes; Schizosaccharomycetales; Schizosaccharomycetaceae.
UACAGUUACUCUUGUCAUCCUCGCUGAAGAGCAAGAAUAGUUCACAACCAAAUAGUUGUCGUCAACAAAAAGAUUUCUUUGCACUAGUUCCUCUUUCAACUCACGAUCUGGAGCUAACACUUGCAAACAUCGUUCAGCGUCCACUCGACUGGCUAAAGGAACUUUCACAGUUCUACAUAUUACAGGUAUUAGCAAAUCAUUUAUAAAUAUAAUUAAGGGAAGCUGAAUGAACGACAAAUAGCUACUUACACUUUAUGAGGAAGCACGAUCAUUUCUGACAUUUUAAUAGGGAAAUCGUAUUCUAGGACUCCAAACUUUUUUAAAAAAUCGAAAAAUAGAUUAACACUUCUUCGCAAUCCCGAUCAAUUAAAUAUUCAUUAAGCACAAAGUCAAUAAAGCCACGUUUAUGCAAGUAGUGGUAGAAUGCUUUGUAAGACCAAUGAAUGUAAUUUUGUCUACUGAGGUGGUACUAAGCCAUAUAGCUAUUAAAGAACCUUACUUAGAUUAUAUUUGCAAUAACAUAUAAUCUUUUAAAUGA